GGUCCUGUAGCGCAGUGGAUGGCGCGUUGGACUUCUAAUCCAAGGUCCGGUUCGAAUCCCGGCAGGGAUG
RNAcentral lists this transfer RNA (70 nucleotides) under Araneus ventricosus. It matches the Rfam family "tRNA". Rfam says of the family: Transfer RNA (tRNA) molecules are approximately 80 nucleotides in length. Their secondary structure includes four short double-helical elements and three loops (D, anti-codon, and T loops). Further hydrogen bonds mediate the characteristic L-shaped molecular structure. tRNAs have two regions of fundamental functional importance: the anti-codon, which is responsible for specific mRNA codon recognition, and the 3' end, to which the tRNAs corresponding amino acid is attached (by aminoacyl-tRNA synthetases). tRNAs cope with the degeneracy of the genetic code in two manners: having more than one tRNA (with a specific anti-codon) for a particular amino acid; and 'wobble' base-pairing, i.e. permitting non-standard base-pairing at the 3rd anti-codon position. The record is from Rfam by way of RNAcentral. Lineage: Eukaryota; Metazoa; Arthropoda; Arachnida; Araneae; Araneidae.